Molecule: ribosomal RNA, 929 nt
Filed under: uncultured Alphaproteobacteria bacterium
Lineage: Bacteria; Pseudomonadati; Pseudomonadota; Alphaproteobacteria
Description: bacterial SSU rRNA
Rfam family: Bacterial small subunit ribosomal RNA
Source: RNAcentral
UGCAAGUCGAGCGCUGUAGCAUACAGAGCGGCGCACGGGAUAAUAACGCGUGGGAACCUACCUUUCGGUUCGGAAUAACAUCGGGAAACUGGUGCUAAUACCGGAUACGCCCUUCGGGGGAAAGAUUUAUUGCCGAAAGAUGGGCCCGCGUUGGAUUAGCUAGUUGGUGAGGUAAUGGCUCACCAAGGCUACGAUCCAUAGCUGGUCUGAGAGGAUGAUCAGCAUCACUGGGACUGAGACACGGCCCAGACUCCUACGGGAGGCAGCAGUGGGGAAUAUUGGACAAUGGGGGAAACCCUGAUCCAGCCAUGCCGCGUGAAUGAUGAAGGCCUUCGGGUUGUAAAGUUCUUUUGGCGGGGACGAUGAUGACGGUACCCGCAGAAUAAGCUCCGGCUAACUUCGUGCCAGCAGCCGCGGUAAUACGAAGGGAGCUAGCGUUGUUCGGAUUUACUGGGCGUAAAGGGCGCGUAGGCGGUUUUGUAAGUUGGAUGUGAAAGCCCUGGGCUCAACCCGGGAAUUGCAUUCAAAACUACAUGACUAGAAUUUGGUAGAGGUUGGUAGAAUUCCCAGUGUAGAGGUGAAAUUCGUAGAUAUUGGGAAGAAUACCCGUGGCGAAGGCGGCCAACUGGACCAACAUUGACGCUGAGGCGCGAAAGCGUGGGUAGCAAACAGGAUUAGAUACCCUGGUAGUCCACGCCGUAAACGAUGCAUGCUAGACGUUCGAACCAUCAUGGUUCAAGUGUCGCAGCUAACGCACUAAGCAUGCCGCCUGGGGAGUACGGCCGCAAGGUUGAAACUCAAAUGAAUUGACGGGGGCCCGCACAAGCGGUGGAGUAUGUGGUUUAAUUCGACGCAACGCGAAGAACCUUACCAACCUUUGACAUGUCCAGUAUGGAUUUGGGAGACUAGAUCCUUCAGUUCGGCUGGCU